GACAGCAGUGCUCCGCAGGAUCCAUGUACACCACCGUCACGUCCAAGAUCCCACUGGGACCUGUCACUGUGGAGUGAUAAAAGGAAAAGAGCAGGAAUCUAAACUCCAGUCUAGGAAGUUAUCGAGAAGACUUUCCUCCUGGGUGGAGAGCUCCGCUGUGGGCGUAGUCACAAAGCUGCCUCUGUCAUCCUGAAUGCUGUCUUCCCUCCUCCUGUAGUAAGAAAAUCCAGAAGUCACACAUUAAAAGCCAAGUCUUCUUUUCUGGCUCCUUUAAUAGGAACAAAAGGCAUGACGGUAUUUUGGCUGUCCAGCCAACUGGGUGCCAGAUCAAAAUACUUCAGAAGCUACAGAGCAGAAUCAAC
Long non-coding RNA from Egretta garzetta (little egret), 362 nucleotides. RefSeq lists it as uncharacterized. The transcript is spliced from 3 exons. NCBI's taxonomy places the organism in Eukaryota, Metazoa, Chordata, Aves, Pelecaniformes, Ardeidae. The record is from RefSeq and is a predicted model, not a curated record.